This is an RNA transcript of Drosophila guanche, 2291 nucleotides long. RefSeq lists it as uncharacterized. Lineage: Eukaryota; Metazoa; Arthropoda; Insecta; Diptera; Drosophilidae. The transcript is spliced from 6 exons. The record is from RefSeq and is a predicted model, not a curated record.
CGGCGGUACAUUUUAUCAGUCACACAGCUACGCACAUUUCAUCGUAAAAUGCACUUUCUAAGCCAAUUUUUCGAAAUUAUUAAUAUUUCUAAUCAGUUAAUCCACUAAACGGCUAAAAUGCAAGAGCUCAAGAAAUGUUUUGAGCCUCGCCAUCUAGUGGACGAGUUGAAGCAGAAACAGGUUAUAGAGGACUGCCUGCUGCAGAAGAUACUCUACUCAAAGCGCCUGCUGGUCGACCAUGUCGAGGCGCUCGAGCAAUGCAUACAGGACCGGCAGUCGUUGGCGGCCACCCGGCCCGGCCGGCAGCUGCUGAGCACGCGGAAUGCCUGCCUGCUGCUGGGUGGCACACUGCUGGAGCAUUUCGUGACACCGCGCAGGCUGCGUCUGACGAUGCUGCCCACCAUCCUGGUCACGGGCACCUUUACAGCGCUGUGUGCCGUCAAGAGCGUCUUUGUGUGCCGCAACAAGAUGGUGGAGCGCAAGCUGGAGCAGCUCGUGCGUACCAUCGAUGAGUUUGGCAAUUGCAUCCGCCGCAACAUGACGUACUUUCAGGAGAUAAUCAUCAUGAAGCAGGCCGAACUGAUAGAAUCGCGACAGAUAGAACGUGCCUGGGAUUGCAUAACGGCGGCCAAGGAGGUGACCGAAAUCCUCUACGAUGCGACGCGCAAACUGGAGACGGACUACCCGCUGCCCGCCAAAUAUGGCUCCUACUAUGCACCCAUGGAGGAGCUGCGAGAGUGCGAAUACUUCAAGAACAAUGUGACGGACUACAGUCCGAAGCACAUAAAGGAUUUCCACAACAUUUUUGCCUAUGUGCAGUCGCAAUAUCUGCUCCGCCUCGCGUUGACCAUCACGACGCGGCCCUCGAUCUCGCAGCUCAGCGAGGAGUUGGUGAAAAUCGAUUGCCUGAUGCGACAGUUGGUCCUUGAGGAGGAGCAGCACUUCGGCAACCUGGCCAUUGCCAUGCAGAACCGGAAACAACUGGAGCUGGCGGAGCUGCAUGCGGCCAAGACAGAGCAGCAGCGAAGCGGACCAAUUGCCGUGCUGCAGCACUCUUCGCUGAAGCUGAGUGCCUGCAUGGUGGCCGUGGCCGGUGAGUGCCAGGCACUGGAUAUUACGCUGCAGCAACUUACCGCCACGGAGGCGGCGCACAAGAACAACGCCAAAGCACUUGUGGCUGUGUCUAGCAGCAUGCACGGCAUUGAGAAUGCGCUGGCCGUCUGCUGUGAUGACUUCCAACGCCUGAUGCUGGUCUAUAAUAAGUUUUUGCACAGCAAACUGAAUGAGGAGUCAGAGGCGCCCAAGGCAGUCAGCGGUACGAGGCAGGACGAUGAAUUUCCCGACAGUAUUUUGCGCGUUGAAGUCUCGCAGACUGCGGGCGAGACGCAGCAGAAGGAUGACUUCUAUGCGUACAUGUAUGAUGAGAAUGAGGCACAGCAGCAGGAGGCGGAGGCCCCGCAUACGCCCGAGAAGGAGCUGCUGAACUUUGAGAAGCGCAUCACGAAGGGCAAGUUCAAGCCGGUGCUGAAGCAGCUCAAGGAUCGCAUCGAUCCCAUACGCAAAGUGAUGUUGGAGAAGGAGCGCGAGGUUCUCAACGCCAAGGGCAUCAAUGUGGACGAGCUCUUUGGCGUCAUCAUGGCAGACAAUCGACAGGCGGAAGCUGUAUCUCCCGCACAGCUCAGCAAUUGUGAUGCCUCUGGCAGCGGCUCCGAGUCGGACUCUGCCGACGAACGAGACCUCAGCAAGCAGCACAAGGAGCGUGACAACUUUGCCGAGAUGCGUCAGUUUUUGGCCGAAAAGCAGGCCAUCAAUCUGUUUGGCACCCAGCUGCCACGUCCCCCCAUCGCUGUCGAGGAGGAACUGCUGGAGAGCGAGUGCUAGAAAUGCCCCACACACUAUCUCCGACGCAUGCGGCACUAUCUGUUUAAGCUUUUAUCUUUUAUCCAAGCAACAUUGUGAGAUAAGCAGCGUGCCGCGUGAUUACACCUCCCUCCAUCCUGCCGUUUAGUUUGUUUGCUCAGUUUUUGCAUAGAAUCCAAUGCUGUAAAAAGACACGCAAAUAAUAAACUGUUCUGUUACAUCUCGCUCUCUCCGCUAGAUGGCGCUCGCGUAACGAGGAAAGAGCGUAAGAGAGAGCGCCUUGGGCAGCCGUUUUCCUUUGUUUUGUACAUAAAAAUGAUCCAAAUCGUGGCCACAAGUUUCUUCCUCCACUACAAUCUGCUUUAGUUCUAUUUUCUAUAUUGAUUUCAUUUUGAAAAUUAUUUAUUAAAUGCUAAUUUUUCGAAACUUAA